This 403-nucleotide ribosomal RNA is filed under the name uncultured Eubacteriales bacterium. RNAcentral describes it as "uncultured Clostridiales bacterium partial 16S ribosomal RNA". It matches the Rfam family "Bacterial small subunit ribosomal RNA", at positions 355 to 774 of the family's 1533-position model. The record is from RNAcentral. Lineage: Bacteria; Bacillati; Bacillota; Clostridia; Eubacteriales.
UGGGGAAUAUUGCACAAUGGGCGAAAGCCUGAUGCAGCAACGCCGCGUGAAGGAAGAAGGUUUUCGGAUCGUAAACUUCUAUCGAUGGGGACGAAUAAUGACGGUACCCAAGUAAGAAGCCCCGGCUAACUACGUGCCAGCAGCCGCGGUAAUACGUAGGGGGCAAGCGUUAUCCGGAAUUACUGGGUGUAAAGGGUGAGUAGGCGGUUUCGUAAGUCAUAUGUGAAACCUCACAGCUUAACUGUGAGCUUGCAUAAGAAACUACGGAACUAGAGUACAGGAGAGGUAAGUGGAAUUCUUAGUGUAGCGGUGAAAUGCGUAGAUAUUAAGAAGAACACCAGUGGCGAAGGCGGCUUACUGGACUGAAACUGACGCUGAGUCACGAAAGCGUGGGGAGCAAACA